This 67-nucleotide transfer RNA is filed under the name Polistes sp. MD1. Its description in RNAcentral is "tRNA-Trp". The record is from RNAcentral. Lineage: Eukaryota; Metazoa; Arthropoda; Insecta; Hymenoptera; Vespidae.
AAAAUUUUAAGAUAAAAUAAAUCUAUUAACCUUCAAAGUUAAAAAUAUAAAAUAUUUAUAAAUUUUA